This 254-nucleotide ribosomal RNA is filed under the name uncultured bacterium. RNAcentral describes it as "partial 16S ribosomal RNA". It matches the Rfam family "Bacterial small subunit ribosomal RNA", at positions 524 to 776 of the family's 1533-position model. The record is from RNAcentral.
UACGUAGGGUCCGAGCGUUGUUCGGAUUUACUGGGCGUAAAGGGCGCGUAGGCGGUCAGCACAAGUCAGUUGUGAAAUCUCCGGGCUUAACUCGGAAAGGUCAACUGAUACUGUGCGACUAGAGUGCGGAAGGGGCAACUGGAAUUCUCGGUGUAGCGGUGAAAUGCGUAGAUAUCGAGAGGAACACCUGCGGCGAAGGCGGGUUGCUGGGCCGACACUGACGCUGAUGCGCGAAAGCCAGGGGAGCGAACGGG